Manis pentadactyla (Chinese pangolin) is the source of this 1991-nucleotide long non-coding RNA. RefSeq lists it as uncharacterized. Lineage: Eukaryota; Metazoa; Chordata; Mammalia; Pholidota; Manidae. The transcript has 4 exons. The record is from RefSeq and is a predicted model, not a curated record.
CUGGAGGCACGUUAGACUGCCGGGCUCCGCCACAUAACGAACCGACAAUAAAGCCGGCGGAGCGUUUCCGUCCGACCAGGCCCUGGCGGAGGUCGAAUGGCAAAUGAACAACGGACCGUGCGCCCACAAUGCACCGGGACUGGACCAGGCGGUGCCUUUUACGCGAGGAGGUUCCAACCAGGGACACCUCCUCGUCUGAUGUAUUGUGUGUGCGAGGCAGCAUCUCAGAACCAAGGCAAUAAUCAUUUCACAGAAAAUGCACCGCCCCGAGUGUCUUAUUGCUGUGAUGAAAUGGAAAUUUAAAUAAAAGGUCGAACACGUGCGUUCCCAGGGAAGUAUUGACAUGGGUGUUACAUCACCGGCAGCCAAUCAGAUAACUCCAGUCGUGUUUAUACUUCUACUACCACCUUUCUGAUCUUUAAUUUGGCCUCCAAUGUAGAUUCACCCACCAAGAAGAAAUUCUCUCAGUAAACAAGGUCUCAAGUUUACAUCGGCUAUUAGCAAAGCAACUGUUUCUUACAAGAGAAGACACAUCACAUUCUGACAAAAAUGGUUUUCUAGGAAUGGCAGUCCUGAACUAAAUCCCUGCCCUUCUAUGCCUUUCCCCUCACGAGUAGUGUCAAAAGCUGCUCUGUCAUCAUGAAGAUACUGGGACUUUAGAAACUGGAGAGGCAGCUGAAUGCUGCACACCUGGUCCAGAAGCUAUGUCUCAGGAAUUGGAUUCUUUGCAGCCUGAGCUGGAGAUCCUAAGCAAGACACUUACUUAGCUUCUCUGCAUCUCUGAGAAAGGUUUCUCUUUUUGUUAAAUAAGAAUAAUACUUUACAGGUUCAAAUGGAUAUCAAGGUAUUUUAUAAAGUGAUAUACUAGUGUUAAUUGUUUCUGUCAUCUUAAAGUAAAGACAGAAAUUAUAAAUAAAUAAAGUAGGAAUUUAAAUAAUUGAACUUUGGGGACUCUGGUCCAAAAAUACUUUGUCCUAAUCUCAAUUUCCCCCCUUUCUGUUGUUAAGUCACAUUACAUUUUUCCUCCAAAAAACAUAAAUAUUUGAAAUAAUAUAUAUAUAUCCCUGUGUUUUUUUUAAGAAGCUCUGCAAAUAGUCAGGUUCCAUUAGUCAUUCACAUAUAGGUAUUCAAUUUGAAUGUUUUAAUGGGAUGUUAAGAUAACUACACUGAGAACAUGGGAGUUUUAUUAGGGAAGAGAGAAGCAAUCAUUAGGAAACAGAACAUUUUUAAGAAGUUGGAAUAGGCCCAAAUGGAGGGAAGCAGUGAGAACGUGGGACAGCUUAGGAAAUCUGGAGAAGCAUCAGCAGGAGGAACAGGGAGGAAGAAAAGGUGUAGCUAACACAUCAGACUUCACAUGUUCUAGAAUUUUCCUCUUCAUAUAGAAAAUGGGGGAAGCUCUCUUCAUUCCACUCUCCUCAGUAAGACUUCUAAGGCCCACAAUUCAAGCAAAUAAUACAUAUCCAAGGUUACCCAGGUUUUCGUGCACUCACGUAGAAAAUCAACCAUCCCAGUGUAUCUGAAAGAAAAAUGUAUUCCAACUUCAAAAGAGCCAGCCCUCAAAUGCAUUUUUGGAAUGCAAUCUGUUUGGAAAGUGAAAUAACCAGGCAGCCUGUACAAGUUAAUUUUCAAAGAGAGUUUGCAGUUAGAACACAUCAACUUCUAUAAAAACCUGGUUUCUAAUGGGUGCUGAAUCUUUUGGAGCUAUCUUACAUACAUUUUGGAAGGAGAUGGAUUAUAAGUCCAUAAAGUGUAUAGAUAAAAAGCAUUUAGAUAGAUUUUUUAAGAUUUUUAAGACAGAGCUAUAGGAUAGCUUCUCCAUGUUCAGACAUCCUGGAAAUCUUUUUCCAUAGCCCUGAAAUCAACUAUUUACUUUAGGAUAUAAUGGAGCUUCCUUAAAUAUAGCUUGAGAAUAAUUUCAUCUACAAUAAAUCACAGCUAUUUGAAAAAAAGCUCUGUAAAAUAUACUGUAGCCAUGUCCAUGGCUUAUUAAC